UGUGUGUAUUUUUUUCUUUUCUUUUCUUUUCUUUUCUAUCUCCCAUGACCACACCUUGUGUGUCUCACAAAUUUGUUGUGCUAGGAUCAAUUAAUUUGUUUGUGUUUAUUUGAUGGUAUUGACCUUAUGAAAUAAAGUGCAUCUUAUCCUUAAUUUGUUUGGUAAGAAAUAUGACACGAAGCUUCUCUUUGUGUUAUGAUGCCAAAAUUGUACGACCAAAUACUUCUGUGCAUAAGAAUAAAAAAAAUUCUUGAGUACAAAAACUUGAGUACAAAAACUACAUUCAAAUUUUUAACUUUUGAAAUAUAAAAGGUUGCUAAAACAAGUUCCAACCCACAUAUAUAACCAACCAAUAAAACUUUAUACUCUUAAAAACACACUUUCUUUUUUAAGUAUGCAACAUG
Molecule: long non-coding RNA, 404 nt
Filed under: Physcomitrium patens
Lineage: Eukaryota; Viridiplantae; Streptophyta; Bryopsida; Funariales; Funariaceae
Description: long non-coding RNA (PPAT_LNC006281)
Source: RNAcentral